UGGAGUUAAUUUUCUUUGUAGCAGCUCAGUGGUGUUAUGUUUUGGAUUUGUGACCAGGACAGUGUUGAUAACACAAUGUUGUUUUAGCUGGUGUUGAACAGUGUCCCAGCAUUCUUGCUCCUCAUGUUGUCCUGGCAGGGAGGAGGCUGAGAGUGUGAAAGCUGGGAUGGGACACAGCCAGGACAGCUGACCCCACUGACCAAAGAGAGAUUCCAUACUAUACCACAUCAAGCUCAGCAGUAAAAGCUCAGGUAAAGAAGAAGAAAGGAGGGGUGUUCAGAGUUACAGCACUUGUCUUCCCAACAAACCAUUAUGCAUGGCAAAUUCAUGCUUUCCUGGAAAUGUCUGAAUGGCUGCCUACUGAUGGGAAGUUCUGAAUCAGUUCCUUACUUAGCUUUGAUUGUGCAUGCUGCUUUGCUUAUUAAAUAAGCUUUUUGUUUAUUAUGAGUAAAGAAAUUUAGUAAACUGUCUGUAUCUCUACCCAUAAAGCUUCUUGCUGUUGUCCUUCUGAUUCUCUUCCAGAUCCAGCUGGAGUGAGUAAGUGGCUGUGUGGUGCUUGCCUGCUUACUGCAGUUAACCCUCGACAGACACAGGAAGACCCCUCACCUCUGUUUUCAAUUUGUUCACCUUUAAACUUGACACACUUACCAGGUGAUCCCACCAGUUAUUGUUGACUGGUCAGGCAGAAUGUACUUCCUGUCUUCUAAGUAGCAAGGACAAUGAGAUUUACGAACACACUCACUCUUGUGGUUCAGCUUCAAUGCUUAAAGCUUCCCAUUGCUUCUCUUCCUGUGGAUGUGGAGCUCUAGCAAAACAUAUUGCAGACCAAGGCUUAACACCAAACUAUGCAGGUGUUUGGAGGUUUCAUGCAGACUGCAGGAAAUUACCUUCAUAAGAACAUAAGUGCAAACCCCAUGGAAUCUAUAUGGCCUUGAAUCAAACGUGGUAACAAAGGAGCCUCCUUCCAGUGAACACCUUCCAGGGCAGGGCAAGUCUUUGCAGUUCCACUGACCCAUCACACAUUUACUGCAGAAACCAAAAAAUUCUGUGUAAGGUUAUUCUUUUCUUCACGCUCUAAAAACUCAGCUACUUCCUAGUAAUGGAAUAUGUCAUUUUUUUCACUUCUCUCUUAUGCUUUCUAUGCUUUGAUUUUCUUUGUCUAUGUAUAUCAGUUGAAGUCGCUCAUCUUAAUUCCAAGUUGCAGAACUCUUGUAUGGAUUGUCAGUAAACUUUCCUGAAUCGUGAAAGGUGCUGCCCUUCAAAAGGUUAGGCAGAAUUUUCCAAUUUUUUGGUGAAGGUACUCUUCAUUCUCUCAUGGAAGUACCUGUUGGUACUCACCAAGUCCUACAAGCUGCUUUCAUUGUCUCACCAGGAGCAUAUGUUUUCCCAUUCAGUGUACAUGGACACUGGCUAAUGUGAACACAUGUCCGAUUCUUUGAGAUGUCAUCAAGAACAGUUCCUGCCAAAGAAGAUAAACAAAAUAUUUUUCCUCAUCCUCACUUAGCACUACAGUUAUUAUGGCUUGAAUGCUUUCUGAAAUUAGCUUGAGAAUGCUAUUCUUGCAUAGCCAGUGCCCAUACUUGGAGAUGUAACAUGCAGGAAAUUUUCUCCUAAUUAAAUAAAACUGAGUCUUCACAAGUGACAAAGGCUUUUGGCUACUUUGUCAUAUGAAAGUGCAGCCAAUUGUCCUAUUUUGACAUGCAAAUGAUUGUAAUAAUCACAAUUUCUGUAGCAAGUUCAUCUUGAACUAUUUUAAAGGCAAUUUACAAAAUGCCCAUAAUAUUGCAGAAAUCCUCUGAGGGAGGCAUGCUACCUCUUCCUGGUGCCUGAUCAAUGUAUAUUUUAAUGAAGAACUUUAAGCAGAUGGCAUAUCAUUAUCCCAUCACAAAUCAUGGUCUUGUGAGGAAAAUGUUUUCAUAGCUCUGUUCUUGCAAAGAGUGACCAACCAUCUUUGGAGGACCGUGAUUACUCAAGACUCCAGUUACAUUAUGUUACCUGAGAAAGCAGUACAAUGCCUUGAAAUGCACAGCUAGUUCAUUAUUAAGCAGUCUAUUCCACUUGACUGGAUAUGUGCAAAAAACAUUCGUGUGAUCCAUUAAGAAUAUGAUGAAAUGAUACCUUCUGGACAAAAGCAGCCAUAGGUACAGUGACUGGAACAGCUGUACUCUGGGUUGGAACAGGUUUUAAUACAUGGAGAACCACAUUCCUCAUAGAUUAGGUUCGCAGAACAUUUUCCCACAGCUGCAACAAACAGUGGGAGUGUUAAGAUUUUUAAAGUGUAAACAGAGAAGAAUGUUUCAUCUGCUACCUAGCAAGGAAAAGACCUUCUGAUUUCUGACACUAACAUUCUUUUACCCUGCCUCAAUACUCAUUUCAUCAUCUGAGUAUUCACAGUUACCAUCAUAUUCACUCUGGCUUUUUUUCAUUUUUCAUGCUGUACUUAGUGGAAACAUUUUUCAGAAGCUUGAAGAAUGGCAAACAGGCCAUACUGCAGCCUAAUGAAGUACCACAAAUCAUAUUUUCUGUAGUACUUCAAGGUUUUACUUCUAAUCAGUCAUUGUAAAUAAAAAGGCCGAGCAUCUGAAAAAGGACUACUGAAAAUCAUCUGUGAAUAAAAGGAGCGAUGGCAAUUAUUAGCAAAAAGGUUCAAAGACCUCAGGGGCUCUUUAAAAGUGCUCUCUCUUCACUUGAUAAUUUGCUAGAUACAAUAAUAAGAAAACUGUGCUAUGAGCAAACAGCCUCCUGCUAGAAGUGUGAAAAAUUAAAAGUUUUCACUUGGUGGAUGUUUCUGUUUUAUUGUCAUUGAUCUAGACAUAGGACCUAUGUUUUGAGCUUUCUUCUCCUUUGAGGUUUCCCUGCUCUCCUUCUUACAACUUUACCAAAGACCACUGUUCUCUGUAGAAAAUUGUUUGAUUAAAGACAGUAGGAACUUCUUUUUA
Molecule: long non-coding RNA, 2939 nt
Organism: Corvus hawaiiensis (hawaiian crow)
Lineage: Eukaryota; Metazoa; Chordata; Aves; Passeriformes; Corvidae
Exons: 3
Source: RefSeq, a predicted model, not a curated record